Long non-coding RNA from Engraulis encrasicolus (European anchovy), 503 nucleotides. RefSeq lists it as uncharacterized. The record is from RefSeq and is a predicted model, not a curated record. NCBI's taxonomy places the organism in Eukaryota, Metazoa, Chordata, Actinopteri, Clupeiformes, Engraulidae. The transcript is spliced from 3 exons.
UUCUCCUCCAAUCCAAGAAGCCUGGACUGCAGUCACCAUCUCAACACACCAACCAAGAGAAAGGCGGAUGGCUCAAUUCAAUAUGGAAAAUUGCACAAUAAAAGUUCCAGGACAAGAAGGCAGCAUACUGUGAACGUCAACCUUCAGGGCACCGUCCUGCGCAGAAGACUUUCUACCCUAAGAGGGAUGGCUGACCGCAGACACUCACAACCAGCACAGACGCCUCCAACCUCAAACUAGGCCCUUCACAGUUGCUGCACUUACCCACCUUCCCAGAGUUUUUGUGUGGUAAUGACAACUGUAAAUAUAGUAUAAAGUAAUGUAUCUAGUGUCAUGUGUAAUACAUUGUUUAAAUUGUCCAUUGUCCAUUGCUUCCAUUUCAAUGACAGUAAAUAUUGGUGGACACAAUUUGACUGUGUGGCUUUUUUUUAAUUCAUUCUCUGACUGAAAAUGCAUGGUUACAUAAUUUAUAUAUUCCACAAGACCACAAUCAGAAGAACAUU